CCAGACUCCUACGGGAGGCAGCAGUGGGGAAUAUUGCACAAUGGGGGAAACCCUGAUGCAGCAACGCCGCGUGAGUGAGGAAGUAUUUCGGUAUGUAAAGCUCUAUCAGCAGGGAAUAGAAAAGAAGGUACCUGAAAAAGAAGCCCCGGCUAACUCCGUGCCAGCAGCCGCGGUAAUACGGAGGAUGCGAGCGUUAUCCGGAUUUAUUGGGUUUAAAGGGUGCGCAGGCGGAUUUUUAAGUCAGCGGUCAAAUCGUGGGGCUCACCCCCGUCCAGCCGUUGAAACUGGUGAUCUAGAGUGUGCGAGAGGUAUGCGGAAUGCGUGGUGUAGCGGUGAAAUGCAUAGAUAUCACGCAGAACCCCGCUUGCGAAGGCAGCAUACCGGUGCACCACUGACGCUCAGGCACGAAAGCGUGGGGAUCGAACAGGAUUAGAUACCCUAGUAGUC
RNAcentral lists this ribosomal RNA (447 nucleotides) under uncultured bacterium. Its description in RNAcentral is "partial 16S ribosomal RNA". It matches the Rfam family "Bacterial small subunit ribosomal RNA", at positions 331 to 795 of the family's 1533-position model. The record is from RNAcentral.